AGAACGAACGCUGGCGGCAUGCCUAAUACAUGCAAGUCGAACGAGAUCUUCGGGUCUAGUGGCGCACGGGUGCGUAACGCGUGGGAAUCUACCCUUGGGUUCGGAAUAACAGUUGGAAACGACUGCUAAUACCGGAUGAUGACGAAAGUCCAAAGAUUUAUCGCCCAAGGAUGAGCCCGCGUAGGAUUAGCUAGUUGGUGAGGUAAAGGCUCACCAAGGCUACGAUCCUUAGCUGGUCUGAGAGGAUGAUCAGCCACACUGGGACUGAGACACGGCCCAGACUCCUACGGGAGGCAGCAGUAGGGAAUAUUGGACAAUGGGGGCAACCCUGAUCCAGCAAUGCCGCGUGAGUGAUGAAGGCCUUAGGUUGUAAAGCUCUUUUACCCGAGAUGAUAAUGACAGUAUCGGAGAAUAAGCUCCGGCUAACUCCGUGCCAGCAGCCGC
RNAcentral lists this ribosomal RNA (444 nucleotides) under uncultured soil bacterium. RNAcentral's name for it is "bacterial SSU rRNA". It matches the Rfam family "Bacterial small subunit ribosomal RNA", at positions 26 to 518 of the family's 1533-position model. The record is from RNAcentral.